UUAACUCAAAUUUCUAUGGAGUUGGAACGUUCGCCUACGUUUGCCGCUAGGGGCGCUGUUCCAACUGCAUACAAAUUUGAGUUA
This is a non-coding RNA of Bombyx mori (domestic silkworm), 84 nucleotides long. Lineage: Eukaryota; Metazoa; Arthropoda; Insecta; Lepidoptera; Bombycidae. The record is from Rfam.